Molecule: non-coding RNA, 73 nt
Organism: Ovis aries (sheep)
Lineage: Eukaryota; Metazoa; Chordata; Mammalia; Artiodactyla; Bovidae
Source: Rfam
UCCCUGGUGGUCCAGUGGCUAAGAUUCUAUACUCCCAAUGCAGGGAGCCCACGUUCAAUUCCUGGUCAGGGAA